UCGCCAUAUUGAAUCUUUACAUCUUGAAUAAAAUAACAGAAGACACGUGUAGGGAAAAUUUUGUGUAUUUUUGUAGUUUUCGAAUAUAAAAAGCAGUCUUUUAUGAGUUAUAUACGGUGUAUGUGAUUUUCUCACUGAAAAACAAACUGAGAAGCUGUAGUUCAUUAUGAUGGUAAACGGACGACCAUUAUUGCUUUUAACUGUACCAGGAUUAGCGAUUAUUGUCGGUUUGAUAUGGUUCCGACGUAAAAAAUUCUUUGGCUUAGACUCCGGAGGUAAAAAGUCAAUUUCAGAAUGUUUGACUAUGAAUAAUUGUGGACAGAAAUUGAACCCCCUCGAAGACAGCAUAAUGGAUGUGAAGCACACGGAUUCGCUACCCAUUUCACCUGUUAGCAUAAAAAACGACCCCGGAAAACACCAAUCUGUAUCAUCAUCAUCCUCCUGCAGUGGAAAGUCGGCUCCGAUAGAUAUUAUACCUAACAUUAGAAGUCCACCAAAGGUUUCUGAUCAACAAUUUGAUGCUGAACUAUUAAAGUUAAAGAUUGAAGAAUCUGAUAUGAAGCACCUACGUCUAAUUGAAGAGCAGGACGAUUAUUCUAGUUUCGAGUCUCCAGUAAAUUUACCAGGAACAGCCGAUCGUUACCAAAAUUUUAUCAAAUUUAAUGAGUCUUUUAAACCAACACCGGAACCAGUAGUCGUGAAAGCUAAUAUGACAGCAAAAAUUUCUCCAAAAAGCUCAUUUGCUACUUCGUUUAAUCCGGCACAACCAUCCGAAAUACAGUUUUCGGAGCUAGAAAAUGCUAAUCCUUCACAUACCGCAGAUUCUGAACAAUUUAUUACCAGCCAGUCAAAUAAUGAGUACGCUACAAAUAAUGAUUGUCUGAAAAAUAACAGAACAAAUCAAAAACAAUUGGAUAAAAAUGAAAACUCCUCAGCAACAAGUCCACCGCUUAGUUUAUGUAGUCUACACUCUGGUGACUCAGGGAAAGGAUCUAGUCCACCUCAGUCUGAUUGUGCUCCAGCUACUAGUUACGAAUUUCUGUUACCUACAUAUUUAAUUAAUAGGAUGCUUGGACGAAAAGCAAACUUUGUGCAAAUAAUAAAGAGUAAAACCGGAGUGAAUGUGUUGAUUAAACGUAAUCCAAGUACGCACAAAACGAAGAUUUGCUCUUUAAAAGGGACACAGGCUGACAUUGACAAUGCUCUGGCUUUAAUCCGUUUGAAAUUUCCGGAGAAAAGAUUUCCUGUAUUAACAUUACAGCGAGUUGAUGUUGGAGAAAUUGAAAAAGUGCUAUCGUUACCUCUGCUAGAUACGACAUGUAUUCAUCUGCAGCUGGUUGAAGGAAUCAAUAACGAUGUUUCAAUUAGCUCUAUUAUCACUGGAGGCCACGUAUUUUUACAGCAACCGCUUCAUCCAACGUUUCCUUUGUUAAACACAAUGCAGCAAUGUAUGAUACAAAACUACAAUAUGAUUGAAGCUCCUUUGCUACCCGAAAUUAUCGAGAAUGCAAUUUGUGUUGUUAUGGUUCAUGGAAGUUGGUACCGUGUUCAGAUUAUUUCACACAAUAAAGAAAACCAACACUGUUUAGUUAAAUACCUAGACUAUGGCGGAUUUGCCAACGUUGCAGUAUCCAGCCUAAGACAAAUCCGAGCUAAUUUUAUGGGAGUUCCAUUUCAAUCUAUUGAAUGUGUGCUGUCUAAUGUGAAACCAUAUGGCGACUCUGGUUGGUUACCCGAAGCAUCUGAGGUUUUACAUAGCUUAUCUAAAGGUUUAAUACUGCAAGCUCAAGUAGCAGGAUACACCGCAGACGGUCUGCCGGAAAUCUAUUUGUUUGCUUCACUAGCUAGAGAUAACGUCAUAUUUAUAAACCAAGAGUUGGUUGCUCGCAACCUGGCAGUGUGGAUGGAUUAAAAUGAACAUUAUUUAUUUGAACAAUAGCCCAUUCAAUUAUUAUUCAACUGGUAUCCGGGGAAUAAAUGCUGAAAAAGCUAUUAUACAUCAACAAUGUGUCCUGCAAAUCUAUCGAUUAUUGGCUGAUUAUUAUAUUUUUUAAAACAGAUUGGAAUGUCCACUUUCCUUUCAUGGACCCUUGCGGUUUACAAUAGAAUACCCAGGUAACCAAUAAGCAUUAGUAUAAGCAGUAAACCAGUUGUUUAUUAGCAUCCCUGGCAUUUUAUACUGCAGGUUGCUGUUUAUCAGCCUUUUGACUGCAUAACUGUCGUGAAUUGGCAUCCACAAUUCUAUUUAAAUUCUUGUCGGUAACUAGCUGCAAAUAAGCAUUGUCAGCACUAUAAGAGGGCUAGCCGUAAAGUAGCCGCAUAUUUUGCCAAAAUAGCAUUUAAGUACCAUUUAAGGCAACAUAAAUGCUUAUUGGCUUGCAUUUAAAUUGCAUUGGAAAUGCUUACUGGUUACCUGGGUAACGACCGGGUCCAUUAUAGGAAUUUUAGUGUAUUUUGCAUGGGGAGAGUCCGGUAAUGGCGACAUUUUUUGCAUUGUAUAUAAUGGACCCACUUGUUGAAAACGUCAAUUUUAAAGCAUUAAUAAUGAAAUGCAGCUAAAAUUUUAUCAACUCAAAUGUGUGUUAUGUUUAGUACGGUCUGUUUCAUGUUAUAUAUCCUCAGAAAUAAGAAGUAUAAGCUAAUAAAUAUCGAAAUUUUAUCCGAGUGUCCAUUACAGGUAGAGGGUUUACUAUAUAGGUUAACUUACCCUACUAUCUGCUUUAGUGCAUUCAUGUAAUUUUUUUUAAUUCAUUAGUUUGGCCAUACGCAGCGAAAGGAUAUGAGUGGCGAGAUAGGCUGUCAUCGGCCUCAGCCAAAUCCUGGCAAAAGGCAUAAAAAAUAACGAGUAACUGACAGAGUAUAGCAAUCUGUUUAUCCUGCAAACACGUAUCAACAUGUUCGACUCUAAAUAAACAAAAUGGAGGCUAGUUGAAUCGAGCUGAAAGUCCAAUCGAACAUAUUCUACUGCCAACUUGACUUGAAACAGAGCUAAUUGGGAAAAAGCUGUUGAGUAGUCGCCUUUACAAUGUUCAGAAUUCCCCUUAUCGACUCCGAUGUAUCUCAUAACGAUAAUAAUGCUAUGUCUUACAUACACAAGCAUGACUAUUUAACGUACAGCAGGAAUGAACUUCGUACUGGCGCGCGCAUUUACUAAUUUGUAGCCUAAAAUGCCGGAAAACAUGCAUUCGGAAAACUUUAAUAACUCCGGACAUCGCAACUAGUAGCAGCUAAUUUUUUGCUUCUUAGUAGUUAACACCUUGAAUGUUGAUUCUAUGGUAGUGUCAGAGCGGAAAUUUGUGGAAAUCUUUUUCUACACAGUAUUGAAAAUUGACAUAAAUAACAAUUUUUUUGUUCUAAAACACUUCGUCAGAACAAAGCCUACUAGUAAAAAAUCUGUCUUAAUAUCACCUAAACUAUUAGUUUAUAAUCCCUUUAAUGUGAAUUGUCCUUUAAAAGUAUAGAAUUUUAAGCAGCAUGGUAGCCAGAUACUAAAAGAUUAAAUGAUAUUUAUUUGUUCACUUUCCAAAAUUUUUUUACACUGUGUUUCACCUUCUUUAAUGCCUAUUGAAAAACUACUUAUUAAAACAAUUUAUGUAUAUUUCUUAUAGAUUAUGUGUCUACUAUACGUAGAAUAUUAAGUUUGAUAGAAUAUCUCAAAUAAAAAUUUUGAGGUUUUGUCCGAGCUUUUUCGGGUUCUGCCCCAUAGUGCGGGGUUAGAUUAAAUUACGGAAAAGCGAAAUAUAUUUUGUAAAUUAUUUUCGCCGUAUUUUCAAAACAGAUAUGUGAGUGAUGUAAAACGCUGCUGCAAAUUUUCAACAAGUAAUAUCCUCCUGUGGAUAUCGUAUUUGCCGUAUAAUGAAAAAUUACAUCAAAACCGCCCUAAAACAACAUUUGCACAUAGCUCAGCAACUAUGCUUCGUAAGCAAGCAAAGUUUACGUUAGAUUCAAGCUGUCAAAGUAGCCACCCAUCCAUGCCAAUGUAGAAAUUUUACUUGGAAUCUGCACCGAUAAAUCAUUGAAUCGCACUUUUACCCGCAUCGCACUUUUACCCCUCCUUACUCUAUACAGUAUAUGAGUAAUUCUCGCUGAAACGGAGCCACUACUGACACGAGGUCUUCAAAUAUUGGAAUUUUUGCGCUUAAUUGGUUGAAAAUGGUUAAUAAAUAAGAAUUACAGUUUUAAUACCUCGAAAUAGUGGACCGCUCGUUCGCCAAGGGGCCUAACAGUUUCAAAAAAAAGUUGAAUUUUGAGCAAACCUUGAAAUCUAUAUCAUGUGAUAUUUCAUAAAUUUGCCAUGAAACAACUAACAAAUGGUCCGGUUCUGUAAAGAAGAAGAACAGGGCUUUCAAAUGGAGUAAAAAUUUUGGAUUUUAUCAAAAAAUCGCCGUUUUCACCAUGAGCCCCCAACCGCUUUUCAUUUUAAGACCAUCAUAGGAAAGCUGAGAAAAAAUGCUACAAGCAGGCUUGGCAUACACUUUUCGCUUCGAUUUUGCUCUUUUGAUUACUGCAUCUCAGCCAAGCAAAAUUUGAAAAAGUGAUGUAUGGGGCGUUUGUAGAAUUUGUUAUUACAGGCCGGACUCGAUUAUCCGGGGAUUCGAUUAUCCGGGUUUUUAGACUCGAUUAUCCGGAUGAAAAAUAAAUUUUUUUUUCACUGAUUUAUUUUAAACCCAAAUGUUAUAAUUUUCAUGCUACAUGAUGAUUCCAACUAGACAAGCAUUGAUUAACCUCCCUAAAGCUACAAAAUUCCUUUCUUAUAUCCCUUUUAUCGGCGAAAAAAACAAAAAUAAAUCCUGCGAUGAUGAAAUCAAUUUUUUUACUUAAAAAUCAUCAUCGCCAUCAUCAUUAUCAUCAUCAUCAUCGUCAUCGUAAUCAUCAGUAAAAAAAUGGCAAAAAAAAGAAUUUUAUGACUAGGGGAGAUUCAUCAAUAAUAAAAAAAACAUUUAUAAUACCUAAAUAUUGAAAAACAUAACAUACAAAAAAUAAUAUUGUACCAAAAAAAUCAUCAGUGGAAAAAAUCGUAAGAAAGGAUUUUUCUAACUUUUGGGAAGAUAGAUCAAUAAUAAAUAAAACAUUUCUAAUGCCUAAAAGUCAAAAAACUUGACCUACCAAAAAAAAAUUUUGUACCAAAAAUGAUGAUUCGAUUAUCGGGCUGAAAAUAAAAAUGAGCACCCGGAUAAUCGAGUCCGGGCUGUAUCUACAAUAUUGCUGAAGUAAGCAUUACUGUGCAUUUUGUAUUUAUGGCGCUAUAAGGCUGCUACUCUCUUGGUAGCAAAAAGAGCGCUCUUUUUGCUACCAACGGCAUUGCUGCAGCUACAGCGCCGUAAAUAAUAAAGAUAAAACUUCAUUUUCUUCAGCAAUAUUAUUGUUUAUCACUAGCUCUACAAAUGCCCUAUACACCACUUUUUCAAAUUCUGUUUGGCUGAGGAGCAGUAAUCUAAAGAGCAAAACCAAAGCGAAAAGUGUAUGCCAAGCCUGUCUACAAGAAACAUUCAUAAAAUUAGGUGUGCAAUGACAUUAGCUGAAUAAAACAACCAGUUAUUGGUAGCAAGGUUCCCAAUUUUCAUAUAAUUGUGAUAUUUCGAAAAUUUGCUAUGAAACAAACUACAAACGACACGGUUUUGUAAAGAGGAGAGAUAGGACUUAUAAAUGAAGUGAAAAAAAAUUAGCGGCCAUCUUGGAUUUAGCCGCCAUGUUGGAUUUUAUCAAAAAAUCGCCGUUUUCGCCAUGAUCCCCCAACCGAUUUUAAUUUCAAGACCACCAUCGAAAAGCUGAGAAAGAAUGCUAUAUGAAACAUUCAUCAAGUUAGAUAAACAAUGGCAUUAACUAAAUAAAACAAAUAUUUAUCAGUAUCAAGGUUUACAACUCUCCUAUAAUGGAAUUUCUUGCUACAGUCUGUCAGUCUCUCAGUGCAUCCCAGUACAGUCACGAAGAUAAAAAAAAAGGAAAAACCGAUAGUCAAAAUAUUGUACGCGUACCGGCACUGGUGGCACCGAUAAACCGACAUGGCGAUAUGACAUCCCAUACACUUUCUUUAGAAAACAUGUGUUCGUACACAUUUGAAUCAAAAUACGUUAAAUAGUAAUACGAACUAUAUAACGAAUCGCUAUUUAUUGUCGAAAAGUAGAGAACAGGUUUAGCCGAAUGUCAUUCACUAACUAUAUGUGACCGACACGAAAAAAAAAAUAAAAUCAUUAGGAGCACAAGUGAAUGAAUAAAGGCCUAUGUAAAAAGCUUUAUCAUCUGUUUGUGCAAUACACAAAAAAAAACCGGAGCAUUUUCAAUAUUUAGGUAUACAUAUCACCGUUGAAACAAACUGAAUUUCGCAUAAAUCUCUAUCCCGUAGGUACGCUUGUAAGCAAGUGAACGCUUUCUUGAAAGAUAAUGUGUGUCAAAACUUAAAUGCCAGUGUCAUAUCAGUUCAUCAGUGCUGGUGGUUCGUAUUGGUAUUCUCCAUUUGACACGAGUACCGUGAACGUACCAUAUUCUUCGCAGUUAAGACAUAUUUAUGAUUCUUCCGCUAUUCUAAGUAUUCUAGAUUUAAAUUAACACCGUGGAUAGCAGCAACGUGUAGCUACGGUCUACAAUAUCUGGUAAAAAAUAUGGGAAUUAUACCAACAAUUGAGUAAAUUUUUCGUUUUGUAAACUUAUCCACGGUGCCUAAUUCUGCGCACUUUCUUGCCCAUGUUCCUAAUUCUGCGCAUGUUUGCUUCUAAUUCUGCGCACCCAAAAAGUGAAAAUAAAUACUCCUGCCAUGCUGUUUAUGUCUUUAUACGCUGGAAGCACACCAAAAAAUCCGGCAUUAGCCAUUACCAUAAUUAAAUCCAUGAUUCGGCCUUCUUGUACUGUCCAGGUGGCAAAGCAAUAUUAUUAUCAUUUUGAUAGCCUCAUUUUAAAUAUUUUAUUCUCGAUAACGCGAAUAGCGAAUUGAUUCGGGUUUUCUGCAUAAUGAACAUUACACUUUAGACUAAUAAUAGAAAUUGAGUUUUCAUAUAGAAACCACGUCCCCACUCUCCGACAGCCCCAUGAGGUUGGACAUUAAAAAAAAUUAGAAGACAUGGCUUCAUGGCGCUCGUAGGUUUGAACCCCGAGACACAGCACAGGAUUCCAAUCAAUGCAAGUUAAAGAUUCUACUUGAAUUUUCAUGCCUCUAUACCACAGCUAUUUGGGUGAAGUUGCGUAUUCUUUUGCGAUUUCUUCGUAGGAUACAUUACUGCGCAGAAUUUGGAACAUGAAUAAAAAAUCUAUGCCUAAAUCUGCGCAUUAUUGCAUCGCAUUUUUCUAAAGAAAGCAAUGCAUGCAAUCACUCUUUUCGUCUAAAACGUGACUGAAACUAAUUAUUCUUUCUAAUUAUGCUGGGUAAUUUGAUCAUUGCAAAGAAUUUCGAUCAUAAAUUUGUUAAUUUUCUAGAAGGACAAUCUUAGCGUUGGUGCUAACGACGAUGUUUUCUGUCAUAUAAAAUAUUUUCAGUUUCACGUUAAAUUAUUUCGCUCUCAAAUAUUAUGGCCCGUUUGUGAAUAAUGGCGUAAUAUUCAACAGACAUUUAUAAAAAAAUAACGCAAUGAUCAUAGUUAUGCACAAUGUUAAAAAAUACUUAUAUUGCAAAUUGCAUCAAAAAUGCGAAAUGCAAGAAACUUGCAGACAUUUUGCAAGCAAAAUCCCAGUAGCGAACCGUCAAUUAUUCAUGUCAAUUUAUUGGGAUUG
This is an RNA transcript of Sabethes cyaneus, 7701 nucleotides long. It is a transcript of the gene named A-kinase anchor protein 1, mitochondrial, with no coding region annotated. NCBI's taxonomy places the organism in Eukaryota, Metazoa, Arthropoda, Insecta, Diptera, Culicidae. The transcript has 6 exons. The record is from RefSeq and is a predicted model, not a curated record.